CAGGGAUUGCCCUAGUAACGGCGAGUGAAGCGGCAACAGCUCAAAUUUGAAAUCUGGCUACAUUCCGUAGUCCGAGUUGUAAUUUGUAGAGGAUGCUUUUGGUGAGGUGCCUUCCGAGUUCCCUGGAACGGGACGCCAUAGAGGGUGAGAGCCCCGUACGGUUGGACACCAAACCUCUGUAUAGCUCCUUCAACGAGUCGAGUAGUUUGGGAAUGCUGCUCUAAAUGGGAGGUAUAUCUCUUCUAAAGCUAAAUAUAGGCUAGAGACCGAUAGCGCACAAGUAGAGUGAUCGAAAGAUGAAAAGCACUUUGAAAAGAGAGUUAAACAGCACGUGAAAUUGUUGAAAGGGAAGCGCCUAUGACCAGACUUGUUUCUGGCAGUUUCGUUAGCCCUCGGGCUGAUUUACUCUGUCCAGUACAGGCCAGCAUCAGUUUGCUGUCGGGGAGAAAGGCUCUGGGAACGUAGCUCCCCCCUUCUGGGGGGAGUGUUAUAGCCCUCUGCAUAAUACCCUUCGGCAGACUGAGGACCGCGCUUCGGCAAGGAUGCUGGCGUAAUGGUCAUCAGCGACCCGUCUUGAAACACGGACCAAGGAGUCAACCUUAUGUGCGAGUGUUUGGGUGUAAAACCCCAGCGCGUAAUGAAAGUGAACGUAGGUGAGAGCUUCGGCGCAUCAUCGACCGAUUCUGAUGUUUUCGGAUGGAUUUGAGUAAGAGCACACAGGGUUGGACCCGAAAGAAGGUGAACUAUGCUUGUAUAGGGUGAAGCCAGAGGAAACUCUGGUGGAGGCUCGCAGCGGUUCUGACGUGCAAAUCGAUCGUCAAAUAUGAGCAUGGGGGCGAAAGACUAAUCGAACCUUCUAGUAGCUGGUUCCAGCCGAAGUUUCCCUCAGGAUAGCAGUGUUGAAUUUUCUUCAGUUUUAUGAGGUAAAGCGAAUGAUUAGGGACUCGGGGGCGCUAUAUUGCCUUCAUCCAUUCUCAAACUUUAAAUAUGUAAGAAGCCCUUGUUACUUAAUUGAACGUGGGCAUUCGAAUGUAUCAACACUAGUGGGCCAUUUUUGGUAAGCAGAACUGGCGAUGCGGGAUGAACCGAUCGCGUGGAUAAGGCGCCAGAGUGAACGCUCAUCAGACACCACAAAAGGUGUUAGUACAUCUUGACAGCAGGACGGUGGCCAUGGAAGUCGGAAUCCGCUAAGGACUGUGUAACAACUCACCUGCCGAAUGUACUAGCCCUGAAAAUGGAUGGCGCUCAAGCGUUCCGCCCAUACCACGCCCUCAGGGUAGGAUCUAUGCCCUGAGGAGUAGGCUGGCGUGGAGGUCGUGACGAAGCCUAG
Molecule: ribosomal RNA, 1330 nt
Filed under: Ceratocystis harringtonii
Lineage: Eukaryota; Fungi; Ascomycota; Sordariomycetes; Microascales; Ceratocystidaceae
Description: partial 28S ribosomal RNA
Rfam family: Eukaryotic large subunit ribosomal RNA
Source: RNAcentral